GGUUGUGGCUCAGUGGUAGAGCACUUGCCUAGCAUGCGUGAGGCACUGGGUUCGAUUUCCCCCACAACCA
This 70-nucleotide transfer RNA is filed under the name Ictidomys tridecemlineatus (thirteen-lined ground squirrel). Its description in RNAcentral is "Spermophilus tridecemlineatus (thirteen-lined ground squirrel) tRNA". It matches the Rfam family "tRNA". Rfam says of the family: Transfer RNA (tRNA) molecules are approximately 80 nucleotides in length. Their secondary structure includes four short double-helical elements and three loops (D, anti-codon, and T loops). The record is from Rfam by way of RNAcentral. Lineage: Eukaryota; Metazoa; Chordata; Mammalia; Rodentia; Sciuridae.